RNAcentral lists this long non-coding RNA (1205 nucleotides) under Coturnix japonica (Japanese quail). Its description in RNAcentral is "lncRNA (ENSCJPG00005006571.1)". The record is from RNAcentral. Lineage: Eukaryota; Metazoa; Chordata; Aves; Galliformes; Phasianidae.
AUGUCUCGUCUGUCAAUCAUUGUUGCCUCUGUAACAGUUUGUGAUUUUUAUGGAGGAUCCUUAUGUAAUUCUGAUGGAGCAGGAAACAGAACUGGCAGAUUCUGUUUCCUUCAGUCUAACAGCUCUUUACACCCAAGCCAUUGCUCUGCACUGUGCACCUCUCAUGCACUGUAGGGCCAACUACAAGACAAAAGAACAACCAAAACCUCUCACAAAACAAUAGGCAUAGGAUGCUGAGAAACAUCAGGACACUCAUCUGGUCACUCAGUGAAUGGAACAAAAACAGCAAAUGAAAACUUGAUCUUUCAGGAAAAAAAGUCUGUUUAGAAACGGAUGUAUUUGUAUCCGCAAGAGAUAUCAUACUGAACAGGAGAAAGCUCUGCAUCAUGGAGUAAAAGCUAUCUGCUGAGUGUUAGCAGGACACUGCCAUUUGGAAAGCUGGACUCUGGAAUUGAGUAUGCAACGCUCCCAGCACUUCUUAGGAGAUUGAAUAGAACACACAAGGUCUGAAUGCUCUCAUCAUCCUCUAGGAUGGAUUUCCCUGUUACUUUGGGAUCAGGUCAGGUAGUGCCUGGGAAAAAAACUUAGGAAGCCUGAAGAAUGCAAUGAAGUUUGUUUCUUUGGUCAAGGAAAGAUUACUUCACAGUAGUUGUUUUUAAGGACCAUUAAGGUUUGUUUGUUGUCAAAGAAUUUCCUUUGUUCUGCAACUUAAACAACACAAAACAAAGACCUCUUGUGUCCUUUUGGGAGUCUAUUCCCUUCUCAAUGAAAAGCAGUUGUGGAAGUCCAGUUUCUGCAGACUUCCUAAGUGGUUUAAAACAGACCCAAACAUUAUGGUUCUGGGUACACUUUGCCUCCAAUUUGUUAUAAAUGGAGAAGGUGUUAUUAUUGUGGACAACUUAAAAACAUAACAAAAUGUGUGCAUUUGAGAACGGAAAGCAAAUGGUAUUGUAAAGCUUAAUGUUUAUAGGAAAGAAUGCUUUUCCUUUUCAGCUUUUUCUGAGCACUGUGGGUCUGAAAUUUGUAAGAGGAAGUUCGAAGAGGAUAUACACAUUAGUUCCUACUUGGUUAUUUUCCAUAUGUGAGGUCAGUAGAAUUCAGCGGAUUAGUCCGGGUUCCUGAACAUCUGAAAAGCUUUGAAAUUACCUUCCUGAGGUUUUGAAGUAGGGUAUUAUAGUUUGCAAAUAAAAAGAUCAGUUUGAGCA